RNAcentral lists this ribosomal RNA (453 nucleotides) under uncultured Porphyromonadaceae bacterium. RNAcentral's name for it is "partial 16S ribosomal RNA". It matches the Rfam family "Bacterial small subunit ribosomal RNA", at positions 341 to 792 of the family's 1533-position model. Lineage: Bacteria; Pseudomonadati; Bacteroidota; Bacteroidia; Bacteroidales; Porphyromonadaceae. The record is from RNAcentral.
ACGGAAGGCAGCAGUGAGGAAUAUUGGUCAAUGGGCGGAAGCCUGAACCAGCCAAGUCGCGUGAAGGAUGAAGGUAUUAUGUAUUGUAAACUUCUUUAGACGUAGAGAAAUAAGGGUGUCGUGACACUUGAUGCUAGUAUACGUAGAAUAAGGAUCGGCUAACUCCGUGCCAGCAGCCGCGGUAAUACGGAGGAUCCGAGCGUUAUCCGGAUUUAUUGGGCUUAAAGGGUGCGCAGGCGGCUUUUUAAGUCAGUGGUUAAAUCGUGGAGCUUAACUCCAUCCCGCCAUUGAUACUGGAGAGCUUGAUUGCGGUUGAGGUUGGCGGAAUUCGCCGUGUAGCGGUGAAAUGCAUAGAUAUGGCGAAGAACUCCGAUUGCGUAGGCAGCUGACCAAGCCGUAAAUGACGCUCAUGCACGAAAGUGCGGGGAUCGAACAGGAUUAGAUACCCUGGUA